This is a non-coding RNA of Pelobates cultripes (western spadefoot toad), 125 nucleotides long. The record is from the annotation of a GenBank genome assembly. NCBI's taxonomy places the organism in Eukaryota, Metazoa, Chordata, Amphibia, Anura, Pelobatidae.
GCACUCACCUAUCCAUUAAACAGCAACUUCAAUGUUGAAAGAUUUUAUUUGUUUUUUAGGUGUUUUUAAAAAAACAAAUAAAAUCUUUCAACAUUGAAGUUGCUGUUUAGUGGAUAGGUGAGUGC